Molecule: long non-coding RNA, 2013 nt
Filed under: Pongo abelii (Sumatran orangutan)
Lineage: Eukaryota; Metazoa; Chordata; Mammalia; Primates; Hominidae
Description: lincRNA
Source: RNAcentral
CUUCCUCUAGAAUAAAGAAUGAAGAAAAUUGAAAUGAUCUCUGAAACUCGAGAAUAGUUAUGUAAAAGAGAAAAAACAAAGUCUAUCGUUCAAAGGCUACUGAACCAGGAAACAGAUAGCCCACGUAAAAAUCCCAGCUCUGGGAUCAACUGGUUAGAUUAUUUUCAUUCGGGCAUCUUUUCUUUCUGCACUACUUCAUCUACCAGUUGCUAACAUUGAAUGAACCUUUACAGUGUUCCGGGUACUGUUUUAAGAGAUUUUCUAUACUCAUAUAACAUUUUUGAAAGAAAAAGUGAAAUAUAGGCCUACAUGUUCAGCCUCAACGUGAACGUGAUGAGGGUGAAGACCUUUAUGAUAAUCCACUUUCACUUAGUGAAUCGGGCUUGGACUGCUGCAUUCUAAAAAUAAUGGUGAGAAGAAUGAAUAAAUUAGAGUUUACUAUGUAAUAAAACCUUCUAAAAAAGAGGAGAGGUAGCAGAAUUUACAAGAAGAUUAAACCUGACCUUACCGAAGAGAAUGAUACCCUCAUAGCAGCACAUCUUCUUUGCUCACAGAAAGCACCUUGGAAAAAUGUGUUUUGAGUUUCAAGUGAGCAAAACUUCAAUGUGUCUGCCAUUUUGGGGAAGAAGUUGUAACUUGGAGUGAAGGUAGAGGGAUUUAUUAUGAGAGCUUUGCUAGCAGACAUCUCAUUCUUUAAGACAAAAUCAACACACAAACAUAAUUGGUCAAAGGAAAAAAGCCACAAAACCAAUUCAAUAACAUCUGAAGCCUGAGAGGAAAAUGAAAGACAAGAGGCUGUGGCUUCAGCUGUGUCUGCUGACAACAGGAUAAAAAUGGUUGCAUUGAGAGUGAGCUGCAUUUUCACCAGGCAGAGCAAACUGGGAGCAAAGCUGUGUGUUUCUUGGAAAUCAAAAGAGGACUCCAAGAAAAGAAGCUUUUAAGAGGACUGGCUGGAGAGUCAAAGAAGAUCCAUUAGCUUCUGGACCACUGAAAACCUAAGGGCUGAUGGUGGGGGGUAAGUGGCCGGCAGCAGGGAGACAUUUUCUGUAUCUAGGAUGGUAUAGAAAAGACCCCCACUGGACAGAUCUACAAAGAACAACUAAAGAGUCUCAUGGUGGAACAGGUCAGCUCUGGACAUCAGUCAAAUCCAGGGGAGCCUCUUAUACUGGAUUGCAAUUGUGUUGGGCAUGUACAACUGUGUUCUUUUUCUCUAAUGGCUUCUUUCUUCUGGUCAGUCUCUGGAAGGGGUGAAAGAGUGAGAAAUAGUAGCCAGCAAGUGUGGAAAGAGAUGUGGAAGAGAGAACGGGGAAACAGUGAAAGCAAUUGCAUUUCCCCCACUUUCCAAAUGUAAGUUAUCCAGGUUAAAUGUAGGCCCCACCUGACUAGGCAAAGAUUUUUUCCUUUGUUGUGAGUUUGAAAAGAACUAAACAUCAUACUGAAGUGGAAUUAUUGAAAUUGGAUAGACCCGGGUUCAAAUCUUGACUCAGUUAUGUAACAUCUUGUGAAUUUUGACAAGUUCCUUAACUCCACUGAGUCUGUUUUUAUACCCAUACAGUGGAUGUAGGAUUGUUAUGAACAUUAAUUGAAAAAUUACAUAUAAAAUAAGUGUCCAGCAUAGUUCCUGGCACAUACGAGUGCUUGAAAACUACCAAUCCACUUCAUCAAUUUGUGUUAUGCCCUGCAUGGGCACAUAUUUGCCUUGAUACUCUUCAAAAUGUAGAAGUACCCACAGAAAAAAAGUCUCAGUUCAAGCACAGUAUUAUUAAUAUUCUACUGAGUACUAAGUAUGGUCGUUAAUAGUCUAAUAUGAGGAAGUCAAAACAGUCUCUGGAAAAAGUCUUUCUGCAAGCUUUUUGAAGCUUCAGGGGUUACUACAAAGACUGGAAAAUCAAUCUUGAACUCAGCCUUUUAAUUUCUUUUCAUGAUUACUGUUCUCAAAUGGAGAAUGCAAUUAAAAUUAAUGCUGUCUUAGUUCACUUGCUCAAAAUAAACAUUGAUCAAAUUCUAUGUGAA